CCUACGGGAGGCAGCAGUGAGGAAUAUUGGUCAAUGGACGAGAGUCUGAACCAGCCAAGUAGCGUGAAGGAUGACUGCCCUAUGGGUUGUAAACUUCUUUUAUAUGGGAAUAAAAUGUUCCACGUGUGGGUUUUUGUAUGUACCAUAUGAAUAAGGAUCGGCUAACUCCGUGCCAGCAGCCGCGGUAAUACGGAGGAUCCGAGCGUUAUCCGGAUUUAUUGGGUUUAAAGGGUGCGUAGGUGGAUUGUUAAGUCAGUUGUGAAAGUUUGCGGCUCAACCGUAAAAUUGCAGUUGAAACUGGCAGUCUUGAGUACAGUAGAGGUGGGCGGAAUUCGUGGUGUAGCGGUGAAAUCCGUAGAUAUCUGGAGGAACAUCAGUGGCGAAGGCGACUAACUGGCACAUAACUGACGCUGAGGAGCGAAAGCGUGGGUAGCAAACAGGAUUAGAUACCCCUGUAGUC
Molecule: ribosomal RNA, 460 nt
Filed under: uncultured bacterium
Lineage: Bacteria
Description: partial 16S ribosomal RNA
Rfam family: Bacterial small subunit ribosomal RNA
Source: RNAcentral